AUGCUUAACACAUGCAAGUCGAACGGGCCCGGUUUUCGGACCGGGUCAGUGGCGCAAGGGUGAGUAAGGCGACGGUAACCAACCCCAUGGUCGGGUAUAGCCGCGGGAAACUGCGGGUAAUCCCCAGCGACGUAAGAGGCCGGCAUCGGCCUCUUACCAAAGCUCCGGCGCCGUGGGACGGGCCGUUGUGGUAUUAGGUAGUUGGCGGGGUAACGGCCCACCAAGCCAAUGAUGCCUACCGGGCGUGCGAGCGUGGCCUGGCACACUGGGACUGAGACACUGCCCAGACUCCUACGGGAGGCAGCAGUCGAGAAUCUUCGGCAAUGGGCGCAAGCCUGACCGAGCGACGCCGCGUGUGCGAUGAAGGCCUUCGGGUUGUAAAGCACUGUCGAGAGAAAGAAAGCCGCAAGGUUGACCGUAUCUCUGGAGGAAGCACGGGCUAAGUUCGUGCCAGCAGCCGCGGUAAGACGAACCGUGCGAACGUUGUUCGGAUUCACUGGGCUUAAAGGGCGCGUAGGCGGGUGAUCAAGUCCGGGGUGAAAUCCUCCAGCUUAACUGGAGAAUAGCCUUGGAUACUGGUCGUCUUGAGGGAGGUAGGGGCAUGUGGAACUUCCGGUGGAGCGGUGAAAUGCGUAGAUAUCGGAAGGAACACCAGUGG
RNAcentral lists this ribosomal RNA (658 nucleotides) under uncultured bacterium. RNAcentral describes it as "bacterial SSU rRNA". It matches the Rfam family "Bacterial small subunit ribosomal RNA", at positions 44 to 715 of the family's 1533-position model. The record is from RNAcentral.